UGUGGCUGUCUGGUCCCCCAGGACUGCAGUGGCCCACAGAGGAGGCUGUCUGGUCUCCCAGGGGCCAGUGGGGGCCGACGGGAUGUUCUGCCAUGACUAGGACUUCCCCGGCACUGGGGACAGCGUGGCAGGGGAGAGGGGCGGGGAGUGGGUACAGUACCCACAGACCUGGUGGCAUCACCCCAAGAACCCCAUGAGAAUAGCAGUGACAAUCAUCAGAGCCAUACAGCGAGAAUGGGAGCAAUCAGCACAAGGAGAGCUCAUGCCGCAUUUGUUUUUUCUGCCACUAUUCCCUGAAUCCCAGUAGGUGCCCAGCACAGAAGAGGCACCUGGUGUCUCUGCCCACGUGACAUUUAUAGUCCAACGUGGAAUCCCGUGAGCUUGCCAGUGCGUCACACACCGUAACCAUGGCAACACCUAUGGCGUUGGUGCUAAGGAUGGUGCUCUUUGCCUGCAUUGCCUUGUUUAGUCCUUGGCACACACACACCCGUCUGCUCAGAGCUUUCAUUGUCCCAUUUCAGAGAUGGAGAAAUGGAGGCACAGGGCAUGAACUCCCACAUCCUCACAGUCAGACCGUACGUGACUGAGUGUGGAGAGGCAGAGACCCCGGGUUAACAACGCCCUUUCUUCAUCUCUUGGAGGGAGACCAACUUCUGCCACCAGGGUGAGGAAGUGAGGAAGGCCAGUGGGAGAGGCACUGCCAAUGGGAAGCUGCCACACACAGCAAGUCUGCCAGGCUACGGGAUCCGGGGUGAGGCCCAGGCUGAGGGACGAGUUGUGCCCAGGGUGCUUGCUGCCCCACCUCCCACCUGCCCUCAGGACCAAGGACCUGCUCCCUGCACCGCCAGCAGCACAGAGUUCACACUAUGAAGUCCUGGACACAGGGGGAGGGGAGAGCCUGGACUUCAGAACCAGACAGCUGCUGUGGACCCUGGGUAAGCCCCCCUGCCCCGUCUCUCAUCCAGGGAGUGGAUGGGGCUGGAGUCUGAGGUCGCUUUUAGUCCCCUUCUCCUUGACGCUCUGAUUUGCAAGAACAGAGACAGUGUGCUUGGCUCUGAGAAUGGGACUCUCCACCUCCCCCCGCCCCCCGGCUCCGCCCUCUGCCUGUAAACCUGCUCGGGUCUCCGCCUCCUUCGGAGAUGAGCUGCUCUGUUGUGCUCCCUCCUUUUACCUCCAAACCUCCAGCAGGAACUGUGGGAGCAAGCAGUGAGGAGAGACGGAGGCUGGGGUGCGAGCCCUCUUGGCUUGCAGGUCUCGGGUCUCGGAGCACCUGCCGGCAGGGAGAAUGGUCUGCGCUGAUGGGGCCAGAGCGGCUGCUCAGCCUUCGCGUGGAGGUCGCCUCUCCCAGGCGCCCUACUGCCCGGCAGGCUGGCCUCCCAGGACUGCUGGCACGGAUGACCAUGGACAGCAUGUCACAGAACCACAGACAGCAGAAGAGCACAGAGAAAACCAAGCCGCCUGAUUCCGACGUGGACAAAGGACUGGCAGAGACAGUUCUGCAAAGAUGGGCCAAUGGCCAAUGGAAAGUCGCUCCACGUCAUCAGUCACCAGGGAAAAGAGGACGAAACCCAGAGGGAUGCUACUUCACACCUGCUAGGCGGUUAUGAGAACAAAAGUCGAGCAAAAACUGAUGAAACUGGGAAACAGCAAGUGACGCGCAGCAGCUGGAUCCCAUAGGUGCUGCUACUGGGCAUGGAGAUCAGUGCAGCAGCUGGGGCACCGUCCAAAUGUCAAGCACACGAUUACUUUCCAUUUUUUUAAAGAUUUAUUUAUUUAUUUGAGAGGCAGAGUUACACAGAGAGAAGGAGAGGCAGAGAGAGAGAGAGAGGUCUUCCAUCAGCUGGUUUACUCCCCAGUUGGCCGCAACGGCCAGAGUUGCGCUGAUCCAAAGCCAGGAGCCAGGAGCUUCCUUCUGGUCUCCCACAUGGGUUCGGGGGCCUAAGGACUUGGUCCAUCCUCCACUGCUUUCCCAGGCCACAGCACGGAGCUAGGUCAGAAGCGGAGCAGCUAGGACUCGAAUCGGCGCCAAUAUGGGAUGCGGGCACUGCAGGCGGUGGCUUUACCUGCUAUGUCACAGCGCUGGCCCCACGAUUACUUUCUGAUCCUGCAGUUCCACUCCUGGCAAAAAUCUGAAAGCAGGGACUAGAACAGGUAAACCAUAUACAGCUUUGCAAGCAGAUGCCUGUAAACCGUGCUCACGGCAGCAUUAUUCACAAUAGACAAGAGGCGGAAAUCACCCCCCCCUCCACCCCCCGGCCAUCACCAGGGGGAGGAUAACUCUCAGGUGAUACACACCCAGGGGAGUACUGGUGAGCCACUAUAAGGCAAUGCAAUUCUGACACAUGCUGUGACACCGAAACAUUACCUUUAGUGAGAUGAACCAGAUUCAAAAGGACAAAUAUUGCAUGGCUCCACACAAAUGAGGCAGCUAAUGUAGUGUAAUUACAGAGAUACCCAGUAGAAUAAGAUGGCCAGGGGACCGGAGGGGGGAAAGGAAAGUAACUGCUUAAUGGGUACAGAGUUUGUGUGAGUGCGGAGAGCGGUGAUGGGUAGGCAGCACUGCGAAUGUGUUAAUGCCACUGAAUUCUGCAUUUAUAAGUAUGAAGAUGAGAAACGUUCUGUUAUGUAUGUUUACCACAAAAUAUUUUUAUUUAAAGUUUUAUUUAUUUAUUUGAAAGGCAGAAUGACAGGGAGAGUGGGAACUAGAGAGAGAAAGGAGAGAGCUCUUCGCCAUCCACUGGUUCACUCUCCAAUUGGGUGCAAGAGCCGGGGUUGGGCCAGGCCGAAGCCAGGAACCUGGAUCUGCAUCGAGGUAUUCCUCGUGGGUAGCAGGGGACCAAGCACUUGAGCCAUCCUCUGCCGCCUUCCCAGGCGUGUUAGUAGGAAGCUGGAUCAGAAGUGGUGCAGCCAGGUCUCUGAUAUGGGAUGCAGUCUUCAUUGGCUGUACCUCAGAGCCCACUCCUUUUAAGAUGUAUUUCCUUUUUUUGUAAUCACAGAAGUAUUAAAAGAGAAAACAAACAGGAAUGUAUUCUUUCAGAGUUCUCGCAGCCAGAAUUCUGAAAGCAGGGUGAUGCCUGGGCUUUGCUGCCGCUGAUGGCUUUAGAUACCCUUCACCUUGCUGGGUAACUUUCAGCUAUCUUCAUGUGAUCUUCUUCUCUGUGUGUCUUGCAUGAGCACACUUGUUUUGGGUUUAGGGACCACCUAAAUUCUGGGCAUGAGGGUGUGGACGUAUCUUUUUGGGGGUUCCUGUUCAUCCCACUAUGAAGCCCACCACCUAGACAUCUCCCCAAGUGACUAGAUGGGAUGUGGGCACCUGAGCUCAGGACAGCCCAUCCAAAGUCUGGCUGGGUACCUGCCUGUGGUCUAGACAGAACAUUCAAGCUGGGCUGGUCAGGGUUGUGGUUUCUGAAGCUGGGUCUGGAAGAGAUGGAGAGCCUGCACCAGCAGCCACCAGAGCAGGAGGCAAAAGAUGCUAUUAGCUAGAGUACCUGCAGCUGGCAGACAUUGUGAGGAAGCAGGUGCAGCAAGUUACCAGGAGAAGCCAGUGAGCAGACAGAGGGAGGGGAAGAGGUGCCACGAGGGAGACUCUGCAGCUGACCAGAGGGGCAGACUGCUUGGUUCCUCAUAGCCCUGCAGGUGCAGAGGGGCUGGGUGCCCCAACAAGAGGGAGGUCCAUUCAGACUCUUUCUCUUGGUGUCACACAUCCUAGUCAGGACCAGCACAGGCAUUCCUUGUCCCAUAGGGGCCUCAGCCUGCAAUUGUUGUGGGACACCCUUGGUGAAGGUGACCUUGCCGACUUUCAUGUCCCUUUGCAAUGCGAUUUUGCCUCCCUUCCAUCAUGAAGUGAAGUGAUUUCUCCUCUCCUUGAAUAUGAGCUUGGCCAUGUGACUUAUUUUGGCCAAUGGAGCAUUAGCAGACGGAAAGCAUUUGUGCACGGAGUUCCCCCUCGCUGUGGCUGUGGCUGUGGCAAUGCUGAGGACACAAUGUGAAGGGGCCUGGGCUAGCCAGAGUAGAGAACCAAGGCAUCCCAGCCCGGAGCUUGUCAACAGCUGGACACGUGACAGGGACAUUUAAGACCAUCCAGCCCUGGUCAGACCACCAGAUGACAAUAGCUGCAGGAGUGACCUGGACAAGGCCAGCAGAAGAACCACUGGCUGAGCCCAGCCAAACACUUACAAAAUUGUAUGCCAGUAUAAUGGUUGUUUUGAGCCACUAACUUUUGAGGCUCUUUGCCACAGAGCAGUAGAUACUUGACAUAGUCCCCUCUAGCUAAGCCUCCAGCCACCCCAGGUACGGAGUCAGGGCCUGGAACUCGGCUCUUGGAGGCGGCUGGUGAUGCAUGGCAGAUGCUGUGGUCUCCCACGAGCCAGCCUCCUUGUCUUCCUUUUAGUAAUGGCCCACCUCCCCCCGACUCUGGAGGCUGUAUUUCCCAGCCCUCCUUGCAGCUAGAUGUGACUUUGUUCUCAUCAGUGGAAUGGAAUGAGAACAGUGUACACACCUGUGUUACGGCUUCACCAGAAGCUUGCUUGCCCUGCAGCUCCUGCAUAUCUCCCAUGCCACAGGCGGCUGCAGUGGAGGUGGAGAACAACUGUGUCAAGGCUACUCAGAGUGGGGUUCCAGAGCGAGCUGCUCACUGCCGUGCAUGUUGGCGCGAGUGCAGAGUCAAGGUUAAGUGUUACUUUCCUAACAAACUGACAAGCUAACGUUAGGUCUGCUGCCUAUAACAGUAAUAAACAAACAAACAAACAAACAAAUAAAAAACCAGGGCUUUAAAACUGU
Long non-coding RNA from Oryctolagus cuniculus (rabbit), 4779 nucleotides. RefSeq lists it as uncharacterized. The record is from RefSeq and is a predicted model, not a curated record. Lineage: Eukaryota; Metazoa; Chordata; Mammalia; Lagomorpha; Leporidae.